UCGCCCAAUCGGAAUGAAGGGAGGGCGGGAUCAGUGAAAACCACGUGAUCAUCCACGAGUGCGGUGCAGAGUCGCUGAGAUAACCGGAACUGCAGAUGCUGGAGAAUCCGAGAUAACACGGUGUGCAGCUGGAUGUACACAGCAGGUCAAGCAGGAAAGCUGACGUUUCGGGCCUAGAUCCUUCGCUGAGACCAAGAUUUGUGCAAUUGAGAUACCAGCGAUCGUUGCCAAAGCCCUGUUCCCUGUGGAGAAGGUGAUGUUUAACUUUCGUGUGCUGCUUCAGUUUGUAUGAUAAAGGUGCUCUCACAAUGCUCCAUUUGAGAAGUUACAGAUCAUUCAUCUAGCGAUACUGAAGAGCUAAUGGUAUUUCCACAAUUUUACUUCUGCACUAUUCUUAGUCUUUCAGAGGGAUCAAAAGGUUGAGUUACAGAUCUAUACAAUGACUGUCCUUCCUCGCUGGCUUCCCCCACCUCUCUCUUUUGGUAGUUUUAUGCAAACACUGACUGGAUCCCUUACCUGGAGGAUAUUUAUGAAUGAAUUUGUUCUAAUGGUGAUCCAGCAUUUUCCCCAAGUAUCGCUCCACACAUGCCCAGAGAAUUUCUCAGUUUCACAAUCUGUGUCCUUCUGGUUUCUUACUCGCUACACUUAACUUUCUGUUUGAAAGUAUAGUCUGCAGUUGGAGAAUUUAAACAGGUCCACAUCCAGGUCUGACGGUCACUUUGUUUAUCACAACCCAAUUAUCUCAGGAUUUUGAACAAUGAAGGAAAAAGCAGCACUCACAUUGGGGAGAAAUGCACAUGGUGUGUGUGUUGAAGAGUCUGUGAAGAUUCAUCUGAAAUGUCCGAACACCAGUGCAGUGACACUGGGAGACAGUGUGGAAAUGUGCAGAUUGCAGGAAGGAAUUUCUUCAUCCAUCCCAGCUAGAAACUGACCACCAGAGUCACACUGGAGAGAGACCAUUGACCUGUUCUGCAUGAGGGAAAGGCUUUGCUGAUUCGAAUUCCCCGCUGAUACACCAGCGAGUUCACUCUGGGGAGAGACCUUUCAUGAGCUCUGAGUGUGGGAAGGGAUUCAUUGUCAUCCAAACUGUUAACACACCAGUGAGUUCACAGACAACCACAGUUGAAGAACUUUGCUGUCACUCUCACUAUCAAAUGAACCAUGGUUUUGGGCUGUUUGUACAGAUGUUACCGAUCCCUGCUCAAUUAAAGGUGCUGGUAUUGUGAAUAAAAUGUCACACUAA
Long non-coding RNA from Stegostoma tigrinum, 1243 nucleotides. RefSeq lists it as uncharacterized. NCBI's taxonomy places the organism in Eukaryota, Metazoa, Chordata, Chondrichthyes, Orectolobiformes, Stegostomatidae. The transcript has 3 exons. The record is from RefSeq and is a predicted model, not a curated record.